GUGAAAUUGUUGAAAGGGAAGCGCUUGCAACCAGACCUGCCUGCAGUUGCUCAUCCGGGCUUUUGCCCGGUGCACUCUUCUGCUGUCAGGCCAGCAUCGGUUCGGGCGGUCGGAUAAAGGCUUCGGGAAUGUAGCUCCUCUCGAGGAGUGUUAUAGCCCGUUGCGAAAUGCGGCCAGCCUGAACUGAGGUCCGCGCUUCGGCUAGGAUGCUGGCGUAAUGGUUGUAAGCGGCCCGUCUUGAAACACGGACCAAGGAGUCUAACAUCUGUGCGAGUGUUUGGGUGUCAAACCCGUACGCGUAAUGAAAGUGAACGGAGGCGGGAACCCCUCGGGGUGCACCGUCGACCGAUCCUGAUGUCUUCGGAUGGAUUUGAGUAAGAGCAUAGCUGUUGGGACCCGAAAGAUGGUGAACUAUGCCUGAAUAGGGUGAAGCCAGAGGAAACUCUGGUGGAGGCUCGCAGCGGUUCUGACGUGCAAAUCGAUCGUCAAAUUUGGGCAUAGGGGCGAAAGACUAAUCGAACUAUCUAGUAGCUGGUUCCUGCCGAAGUUUCCCUCAGGAUAGCAGUAACGUUUUCAGUUUUAUGAGGUAAAGCGAAUGAUUAGAGGCCUGGGGGUUGAAACAACCUUCACCUAUUCUCAAACUUUAAAUAUGUAAGAAGUCCUUGUUGCUUAGUUGAACGUGGACAUUUGAAUGUAU
Molecule: ribosomal RNA, 697 nt
Filed under: uncultured Ascomycota
Lineage: Eukaryota; Fungi; Ascomycota
Description: LSU rRNA
Rfam family: Eukaryotic large subunit ribosomal RNA
Source: RNAcentral